GUAGGUGGCAAGCGUUGUCCGGAAUUAUUGGGCGUAAAGCGCGCGCAGGCGGUUCUUUAAGUCUGAUGUGAAAGCCCACGGGCUCAACCGUGGAGGGUCAUUGGAAACUGGAGAACUUGAGUACAGAAAAGGAAAGCGGAAUUCCACGUGUAGCGGUGAAAUGCGUAGAGAUGUGGAGGAACACCAGUGGCGAAGGCGGCUUUCUGGUCUGUAACUGACGCUGAGGCGCGAAAGCGUGGGGAGCAAACAGGAUUAGAUACCCUGGUAGUCCACGCCGUAAACGAUGAGUGCUAAGUGUUAGGGGGUUUCCGCCCCUUAGUGCUGCAGCUAACGCAUUAAGCACUCCGCCUGGGGAGUACGGCCGCAAAGGCUG
RNAcentral lists this ribosomal RNA (373 nucleotides) under uncultured organism. RNAcentral describes it as "partial 16S ribosomal RNA". It matches the Rfam family "Bacterial small subunit ribosomal RNA", at positions 527 to 896 of the family's 1533-position model. The record is from RNAcentral.